RNAcentral lists this non-coding RNA (117 nucleotides) under Pan troglodytes (chimpanzee). The record is from Rfam by way of RNAcentral. Lineage: Eukaryota; Metazoa; Chordata; Mammalia; Primates; Hominidae.
GCCGGGCGUGGUGGCUCAUGCCUGUAAUCCCAGCACUUUGGGAGGCUGAGGCGGGUGGAUCACCUGAGGUCAGGAGUUCAAGACCAGCCUGGCCAACAGGGUGAAACCUUGUCUCUA